AUUGAACGCUGGCGGCAGGCCUAACACAUGCAAGUCGAACGGUAACAGGAAGCAUCUUGCUGCUUCGCUGACGAGUGGCGGACGGGUGAGUAAUGUCUGGGAAGCUGCCUGAUGGAGGGGGAUAACUACUGGAAACGGUAGCUAAUACCGCAUAAUGUCGCAAGACCAAAGAGGGGGACCUUCGGGCCUCUUGCCAUCGGAUGUGCCCAGAUGGGCUUCGCUUGUUGGUGGGGUAACGGCUCACCAAGGCGACGAUCCCUAGCUGGUCUGAGAGGAUGACCAGCCACACGGGAACUGAGACACGGUCCAGACUCCUAAGGGAGGCAGCAGUGUGGAAUAUUGCACAAUGGGCGCAAGCCUGAUGCAGUCAUGCCGCGUGUAUGAAGAAGGCCUUCGGGUUGUAAAGUACUUUCAGCGGGGAGGAAGGGAGUAAGGUUAAUACCUUGGCUCAGUGACGUUACCCGCAGAAGAAGCACCGGCUAACUCCGUG
This 490-nucleotide ribosomal RNA is filed under the name uncultured bacterium. RNAcentral describes it as "partial 16S ribosomal RNA". It matches the Rfam family "Bacterial small subunit ribosomal RNA", at positions 30 to 507 of the family's 1533-position model. The record is from RNAcentral.